This is a long non-coding RNA of Scaptodrosophila lebanonensis, 311 nucleotides long. RefSeq lists it as uncharacterized. The transcript has 2 exons. Lineage: Eukaryota; Metazoa; Arthropoda; Insecta; Diptera; Drosophilidae. The record is from RefSeq and is a predicted model, not a curated record.
GUAGUCUUCUAACCACACUGAAAAUAUGAAAUCGCUGAACCUGUCCAGUUUUUUGAUGUUAGCUACAAUUAUUACUAUGGCAGCAGGACCGUCAGGUUAUCCCUUUCCACCAAUUCAUGUGAAGCCAUAAUAAGCAGUAAAUGCUCACUCGAGGAGUAGAAUACAAUUUAUAAAAAUGAUUUAAUGUUUUCAGAUGGUACUGAUUCGGAAGCAAAUGUUCCAAUCAAUAAAGUAGAAUAAUAUUAUUCGUAUAUGAGGAAUGAUAUUACCUCUAUUAUUCCUAAAUAAAAGUAAGAAACGAUGCAUGUUAA